GCCGCCGCCACCGCUGCCGCCGUUACCGCCGCCGUCUUGGCUCCUCUCCGUCACGGGCCAACCUGGAAGGAAGUCCCCGCCCCGCAAUGCGUCCCAGAGAUUUUCGACCCUUCCACGCCCCCCAACCCAAGCUCCUCCCGCAAGAUUCGAUCUCUGGAAGCGCGUAGGGGCGGUGGAAUUUAUUUUUAUUUUUUAUUUUGAUCGCGUCGUGGGCAGCAGAGAUGGAUAGAAGCCAGCCAGGAAAAGAGAAAAGGGUGGUGGGAUGGGAC
RNAcentral lists this long non-coding RNA (269 nucleotides) under Oryza brachyantha (malo sina). Its description in RNAcentral is "long non-coding RNA (OBRA_LNC002833)". The record is from RNAcentral. Lineage: Eukaryota; Viridiplantae; Streptophyta; Magnoliopsida; Poales; Poaceae.